This 11737-nucleotide long non-coding RNA is filed under the name Gossypium barbadense (sea-island cotton). RNAcentral describes it as "long non-coding RNA (GBAR_LNC000467)". Lineage: Eukaryota; Viridiplantae; Streptophyta; Magnoliopsida; Malvales; Malvaceae. The record is from RNAcentral.
AUCAUCCAUCACUUCCAUCCAUCAUCAGCAAACCGAAAACACCUACUCCCAAAAGACCCAUCUCUAAAAGAAACCAACCAUUAGCUUUCUUCAAAAACACCUCCCCUUUCAACUUCAAUAGUCUGUCCCGCUAUCUCCCUUAAAUGCUCUGUCCAUCUCUAUUCCUCAGCCGCCAUAGCCUCAGCCCCAGGAGGAACCCUAUUCGACAGAUAAGUAGAAACUCCCAUUUUAAUUCCUUUAGUCGCAAUUGCAUGAGCAACUCUGUUAGAAUCCCUGUUUAUGAAACGAAAAACACAGAAAUUGAAGUUUAAACUCUGUUGCUUUGAAUCUUUGAUGAAUGCUGCGAUUUCAAAUCUGUCCUCUUGUUCUUCUUGUAGUUUGUGGAUCACCGUCCGAGAGUCUCAUUCCACUUCCACUUCCACUUCACUCAGUCCAAGUUGUAUACCCAGAUCAAGAGCCUAGAGGCACGCCACCAUCUCAGGCGAAAAAACUGACGGUAUAUUCACAUUUAAGAUAGUACUUGAGAAAAUCACUUCCGCUUUUUCAUUUCUGACUACUGGCCCAGAACACAAUUCUCUUUUAUGUCUGUUGAAAGUGGCAUCGAAGUUUAUUUUAACUCUUGAUCCAAUCGGAGUUGCCCAUCUUACCGUAGGGAUCCUUCUCUCAUGUACAUACAUGUUCAACCCUUCUAAUUCGUUUAAGUAGUUAAGAACAAAUUCUGCAAUUUGGGAUCCCGAUUUCAUUUCCCCCUCAUGAACAAACUUAUUUCUGGAAUUCCAAAUCACCUAUAAUGCACAUGUAAACAAUCGGCGCUUGGAAAUAGAGUGAGAACAAAAAAUAUGUAUUAGAACUUCUUGAAAAUCAGUGUUAACCCCUGAACUAGGCCAACAAAAGUUUAACUUCUCCCACAUUUCUUUUGCAACAGGGCAGUCUCUGAAUAAAUGCUCUAUCGUUUCUGCUCUUGCUUGACACCUUUGACAACUGGAAUAAUUCAUCAACCUCCUAAAAUGUAUGUUACUACUAUUACGAAGAUAGUUACAAGAACAUCCCCACAUUGUAAUUUUGAUUUUACGUUGCAGCUCUAAAUUCCAUAGUUGCUUGUAAAAAUUUUUAUACCUAUUCUAUAUUUGAUUUUGGCCUUCGUGUAAAAGAUACUUGUAUCUAUUACAGACCGAGUAUUCACCAGUCAACUCUCCUCUCCAAAUAGUGAGAUCCUCAUGCGAGCUCAAGGCCAAUGGAAUACAUAAGAUUCUCUCAGCCUCGCUCUCCGUAAAGGUACUAUAAAUCAGGUCCGUAUUCCAUUUCCUUGUAUAAGAAUCAAUCAAAUCUGCUACCUUUAUCAACCCCGGAUUGGGAUUUAAAUUCUGAAAUCUAACUUCCUCAAUUCUAGAGACCCAAGCAUCAUCCCAAAUGGACACUUGCCUACCAUCGCCAAUCUGCCAUCCCAAACCUUUCAUAAGGAGACCCUUUGCAGCCUAAAUGCUCUACCAGGUAAAGGAAGGUAAAUUACCUAACCUAGAGUUUAAAAAAUCGAAGUCCUUAUAAUAUUGUCUUCAAAGUGCGUGCUAGUAAAGAAUUAGGAUUACGUAAUAAACGCCAACCCUGUUUGGCCAAUAACGCAAUAUUAAAAAGGCUAAGACUACAAAAACCCAUACCAUCAUCCUCCUUGAGCUCGCUAAGAUUCUUCCACUCGCAGAAUGUAUCAUUUUCUUCCCACUACCAUUUUGCCACCAAGAGAAGCUCAUUGUUUUUUCUAGUUCAGAACAAAAUGAUUUUGGCAAAAGAAAACAUGCCAUUGAAAAGGUAGGAAUUGCUUGUAAAACAGCUUUUAUAAAAACCUCUUUACCGCAUUGAGAAAUAAAUCUUAUGCUCCAGCUGUUAAUCUUCUAUUUCAACCUAUCCUUCAGGUUUUGAAAAGCCCACCUUUUUUUUCCUUCCUAUCCUAUUUGGAAGUCCCAAAUACUUCUCCAUAUCAUUUGAACACCUCACAUUCAGACCAUGCAAGACCAUAUCAUUUGAACACCUCACAUUCAGACCAUGCAAGACCAAGUUUUUCCCCUGAUCAAUCACAUUUGUGCUAAAAAAAUAGUGGAUUUUUCAAAAUUGACGUAUGCCUUGAACAAGUGUCAUAUUACUAGAAAAUUUCUCUAAAUGCAUUUAUCUCCCUGUUAGACACCUCACCAAAAAGGAUACAAUCAUCUGCAAAUAUAAGAUAAGUAAUUGUUAGAAAAGAUCUACCUUUCCUAAUUUGCCAAUCUCAUAAGUGCCGACAAACCUUCUCCACAGAAUAGAAACAAAUAAGGGCUUAACGGGUCAUCUUGGUGCAAUCCCCUUGUUGCCUUAAAAAUUGAGCCCUCUUCCCCAUUAAUUAAAAUAGAGUAUUUAACAGAAUUAAUACAACGGAAAAUAACAUCCAUAAAUACUUCUGUACAACUCAUUUUUGUCAUUACCCCUUUGAUAAAAGACCAUUUCACUCUAUCAUAGGCCUUACUCUUGUCAAGUUUCAAAGCCAUAAACCUUUUUCUACCAGCUCUUUUAUUUUUCAAAAAAUUAAGUACCUCGUAUGCCAGCAACACAUUGUCCGUGACGAGUCUUCCAAGUACAAACGCGCUCUAAGCCUCAUCAAUACAACCAUCCAGCACCUCUUGUAAACAAUUUUCCACUGUCUUAGCGAUGAUUUUAUAAAUCACCGUACACAGACUUAUGGGACGAAAAUUUUUCAAGUUCAAAGGAUUAACAGUUUUUGGGAUCAGCACUAUUUACGUCCUAUUAAUAUCUUCCAGCGAACAACCUUCAUUCAAGAUAUUCAAGCAGAAUUCAUUAGUGUCCUUACCAAUAAUACUCCAAAAUUUCUGGUAAAAUAUUGCUGGAAAAUCGUCAAGCCCAGACGCCUUUGUAGGCCUCAUACCUUUCAACACCUUCACGAUCUCUUCCUCUGAAUAAGGAGCCAGCAACCUCUGGUUCAUACUAUCAGAAAUACAUGAAUGAACCCCUGAAAGGACAUGCUCCAAAUUUCCAACACCUCUAGACCCGAAUAACUGUGAAAAAUAAUCCUGAGCAAUAUUCUUGAUGUCCUUCCCCUCCAUAGUAAUAGAAUCAUCAAUUCUUUGUAAACCACGAAUUCGAUUGGUACAUCAUCUCUGAAAGGCAUGUUUGUGGAAAAAAACGGUAUUUUUAUCUCCCAUUUUUAACCAGUUAACUCUUGUCCGUUGCUCACAAUACCUUUCUUCCUUGUCCAUCUCCAUAUUCAAAUGUAAUUUCACCUCUAUGAGUUCUUCCAAAUUCCCUUCCGACCUAUCCUCGUAAUUUAAUUCCUCCAGUCUUCUGCUCAAUCGUUGCACUUCUCUCGUUCUCUUAUGUUUUAUCCUUCUCGCCCAAUCCUUCAACCCCAAAGCCAAAAUUGACAUGCGAUUAAGGAAAGAACCAGAACUUACAUUCCAUAGCUUCCUAAUCAUUUCCUCAUACGACUCUUCAAGAACCCACCAAGCUUCAAACCAGAAUCUAGCUUGUCCUUUAUUCAACUCUCCCUUAUUCGUCUCAAUGAGCAAGGGACAAUGAUUCGAUAAAGAGCGAGGAAGAUGCCUUAAAGAAUAUGUUAGGAAAAGUUGGAGCCAGCCAUCAGUAGCAACUCCACUGUCGAGUCUUUCCCUAAUAUUCUGGUCCAUUAUUCGACCUCUUUCCCAAGUAAACCAAAGCCUAGAAAAACCAAUAUCCACCAAUUGGCAAGCAUCUAAUGUUCGACGGAAAGCCUCCAUUCGAUCCUCCUCCCUAGGUAAACCCCACUUUUUUUCAUGAGUAAAAAGAAUAUCAUUAAAAUCACCACCUACAAUCCAAGGAAGCGAAUUAUUUCUCCCCAAAAUUUUGAGUAAUUCCCACGUCUUCGCCUUAUAUCUUACAUCUAAGGCUCCAUAAAAACCCAUAAAACGCCACUGAGGACAGCUCCUCUUGGUUUUCCACAUCAAUGUGGACUUUUGAGAAACUUUUUAAGGCGACUAAUUGUCCUCUAUUCCACCCAAUACUUAAUGCCCCUCGAGAACCAUCUGCAGGGACAUCAACUCUAUAACAAAACCCACACCGUCUUUUAACACCCUCCAUACUACUAGCAUCUAAUUUAGUCUCCAUAAAGAAAACAAUUUGGGGAUGAUGAAGUUUCACCAUAUGCUGAAAUCUUCUAACUGCUCGUAGACUCUCCAAUCCACGAACAUUCCAGCAAUAAAUUUUCAUUUCUUUUGGUCGGCAUGCUCCAUGGCAGCCACCGAUAUCUGUUGUUUAUGAGCUAAAAUCCCACCAAUAACCUCCAAUGAAUCCUGACCAUUAGAAAUAUUAGAGAUCAAAAAAUCGAACCUCUAUCUUUUUUUUCUUUCCUCAUUAAUUAUUGGAUCCUCUACUAAUUCACAUUCCAUACUUGAUAACUCCACUCCAGCAGUGGUCCCCUUGUCGUCAGAAUAUUUCCUCAAAACACUUCCUUGAACAAAUGUCCCACCAAUUGAAUUUUCCCCUUCCCCACAGUCUAUCCCUCAUUAUUUCCGAAAAUCCCCCUUUUCUGACCAUUAUUCAAGAUGACUAGAAUAUUGCAACCUUCCAAAUUUAUCCCCAAAAGAUUGUGCACAUUAGCCUAUGAUCCACGCGUCUGAUUUUGGCUAGAAUUUUGACCAAAUUGCAUCUCAACAUGAUACUUUCCAAAAUUACUAUCACUUUCCUCCCUCAACCAAAUACUAUUGACAGUGCUAGUUCUCCUCACUAGAGCCCUCAACUUCAGAUCCCAUCCCAACUCUAAUUCCUGCAAACCAGUUUGUAAUCGCAUCAGGCAAAAAUUAUCUCCAUGCCCAAGGUAGCCACAUAAAAAGCAAAACAAAGUUAAUUUCUCAUAUUUAAAUUUUUUAUAAGUGAAUUUUGAGGCAGAAAUCAUAAUUUUUUUCUUCCUUUUCAAAGGACUUCUAACAUCAAUCUGAACACGAAUACGCAUAUAGUUCCUAUAACCAUAAAGAACUUGUUUCGUAUUAUACUCUAAAAAUCGGCCAAGGAAAUUUCCAAACUGCAACGCCAUUGAGUCUUUGAAAAAACUAGGUGGCAAGUCAUGCACCUGAACCCACCAGUCUGAAAAUACUAAUGGCACAGCCAUCGGAUCUUCGUUCUCCUGAAUCCUAUAGAAAAUCAACAGGUGAUUGUUGAAAGUCCAAGGAGCUCCUAUAAUAACCUGAGAAAUAUCAAGCUCGUUAAAAAACUUGAACAAAUAACGCCUCCCCCCCAAAUCCGUUAUUUGCAUCCCCUCCAAAGGAUGCCAAAUAUUUGCCAAAGUAUUCCUCAUGGCUGGGAAAUCCACCACACUAGCCGUAAGAAAACGCCCAACCAAAUAAAAUUUGUAAAUAGUGGACUAUUCACCUACCUCUCCUGGCAAAACGAAAGCAUCUUAUUCCCCAUCUUCUAGACUCAGAUCUGCAAUACCACUUUCCAUCCCCCCCAAUCAGCACCAGAACACAACUUCCUAGAUCGCGAACUAACAUAGAACCAGAUUCAAAAUAAAAGAAAACUAAAACUUGAAAAAGAAAAGAAGAGAAGACUCCAAAUCGUGCCACCAGGCAGACAGAAACGCGCCAGUCGGCAGAAGUUAAAUGACUAUUACUAGUACUGAAUAAAAUAGGGAAAGAAAAAUAUUAAAUUUUUACCUAUUAAAUUAAAAAUAACAUAAAAAUGUAUGUGUACGCUUAAAACAAAUCUAAAUUAAUCAUUUAUAAAUUUAGACAAAUUAAUGUGAAUAAAUCAAAAUUAAGCAAACAAAUGUCAUUUAUAAAUGUAAUCUGAAUUUGAAUUGCAUAUACUUUCCCCUUAAAUAAUAUUUUUUUUAAAAAAUAUUCUAUAAAGAAAUCUCUAACAGUUUAAUUUGAGCAACAAAUAAUGUUUCUUGGUAUAAGUUAGUGGUAAAUGGUUCCCCAUUUUAGGACAAUUGAUAAUUGAUAUAUAAAUAACAAUAACAUAAGCUUUGAAUAAUAAGACAACUUUUACUUUUCAUACACUCCUCCAACAUGUCUUAAAACUGUUUCCACAAAUUGUGCUAUGCAACAUUUGAGUUUUCAUUUUCCAUAUCUGUAAAAUUUGAUUCCAUUAAUUCAUUUAAUCAAAAAUUUAUAAUUGAUUCCACUGGUAUGGAUAUUGUUGUUUUUGUAGAAGGACAUGGGUUGAAGUAUGUUAAAGCACAUUAUCUUCUUAUUUAUGGGUUGGGGAGAGAUUAUGAAUAGUUUUAAAUAUUCUGCAAAAAAAUAUAUAUAUAUAAUCAAAAUUUAUAAUGAAAUUAUAUAAAAAAAUUUGAAAGAAAAAUCUCAACGUUAUUAAGUCCAUAGUUUUGGAUAAAAUAGAAGGCUAACUUGCGGAUUUCCAGCACCUAUAUUGCCGAUAUUAAGCGCACCUCAUUACACUCUCAAAACAGACAACCCACAAUUUUAUCCGGUCUUUCCAAAUGUUAAUUUUUUUAUAUAUUUUAAUUAUAAAAAUAUUUAUAUAAAAAUAAUAUUUAAUUUAAAUAAAAAAAUUAGGAAUAAUUUAAACUACUUGACUCCCCUAGAUGUGGAUUUACUUGCAAAAGCAUACAAUUUGAUUUUAACUUUUUUUAGGUAAACUAAAUUGGUAGUAAUUUUGCUAUUAAUAUUCUUCUUUUUAUCUAUGAAAGAUUAUAAAAUUAUUAUUAAACUAUUUAAAUUUUUUAGUCACUCAACUGUUUGAAUUAUUUUUUAUUUAUCAGUCAAUAAAUUAUUAAUGGGAAGAUAACUUGGCAGUUUUUGAAAUUGGUAUAAUAGAAAUUUUAAUACUCAAUAUUUAUAUUUAUGUCAAUUUAGUUUUGAUUCCAAAAAAUUAACCAUCAACAUUUUAUACAUUAUGUAAUUUGAGUUUUUUUAUUUUAUUUUUGCAACAUUGAGAAUUAAUUUUAACAGAAUGAGAAAAGAUGAAAACUAUUAUCUUGGAUUUUCAGGUGUUUUUAUUUUUGAUAUAUUUUCAAUCGAAUUAAUUGAUAGAUUUACUUUUUUAGCUUCUUAAGUAAAAUAGUCACAAAAUUAAAAAAAGAUUAAGAGCAAAUUACAUAAUGUGUAACCGUUGGGGGUUAAUUUUUUUCGAAUCAAGACUAAAUUGAUACAACGCAUAAAUAUUGAGGGUUAAAAUUAUUUUUAUAUCAAUUUUAAAAGUUACUAUGUCUUCUUCCUCUCAAAUCGAUUAGAUGAUUAUAAUUUAGUGAAUAAAAUAAAAAGUUAAUUACAAAUGUUACCUUUUAUAUUUAUAGUGGCAAAUUGAUGGAAAAUAAGUUAUUGAGUACAGAAUUAAUUGUGAAUUAACAUUAUUGAUAUUAUUGUGUACGUUAUAAUUUUAGUACUAAUAAUAAAAAAUUAAAAAAAGACCAUUCUCAAAGUUUUAGAUUUUAGGUAUUCCACGGAAAAUUUAUAUAUUUAAAAAUGGAUGAUGUGAAAUUUUAAUUAAAGUUUUCUGGACCAUUCUCUUAAUUAAAAUAUAAAAUUACAUAUAAGUAAUAUAUUAUACCAUAUCACUUUUUAUAAAUUAUUUUUUUCUUACAUAUUUAUUUUAUUGUUUAUGUUCAAAACUUAUAUCCGUUAAUAAUUUGUGACCCGUUUUUUUUCUUUUAAAUUAAUUUUUUAAAUUUAUCUUUAAACUUCUUAAUAUCCAUAAGAAACCAUUCCAAAUAAAUCUAACAAUUCAUGUAUCAUAUAAAGUUUGAAAGGUUGUUUAGUUAUUUUCUCACAUCAUAGGAAUAAACCAUUGCCUACUCAAUUGAGUUGAUCAGCAAGUUCAUAAAGCAAAACUACACACACACAUGCCAGAAACUAAAAGAAAGGGGCAAUUAAGAAUUCACAGUGUGGACACAAUCAAAAGGACCAAAUUUCUUGGAGGGUGAUUCUACCAUAAGGCUAAAAGAUUCAUAUCCUCAAACCAUGCCGAUUAAUGCUACUUACAACUCCAACAUAAUCUUUAUACCUUGUUAUGAUCCAACUUUGGAUACAUCUUUGGUGGACCGGUUGUAUUUCAUGUGACUCUGAACAAGCUGACCACUGGCUAUUGCAGCCAUUAAGGAAAGUUCCCCCGCCAGGACGGAGCCGGCCACGAUCUUUGCCAAGAGCCUUAAGUUUGCGCCUGGUAGUUCUUUAGUAGCCCCCUUUACUCCAAGCAAAUCCAGGCAUGCAGACUGUGAUGCAAGUUGAGUUCCGCCCCCUAUGGUUCCGACCUCAAUGGAAGGCAUAGUCAUAGAUAUGUGAAGAUCUUUCUCAUCAUUGACAGCUUCCAUUAUGGUAAUGUAAUGGGAGCUUUCGACAUUUUGGGCCGGGUCUUGUCCGGUUGCUAUGAAUAUAGCAGAGACGAUAUUGCUUGCGUGGGCAUUAAAUCCACCGAGAGCACUGGCGACAACCGAAUCGGCUAGGUUCUUCAGCAUGUUGAGCUCUACGAGUGUAACGACAUUGGUUCAGAAAACCUUCUUCAGUACUUCUUCUUUGAUAACUGCUUCACAAAUCACACAUCGCCAAUUUCCCUCGCCCUUCAAUCCAGUUAAUAUCGGCAAGUUUCUUGUCGAAACAAAAGUUUCCUAGCAAACAAACAAAUGAAAAAUCAACUCUAAGCAUACAAAGUUUGGCACCAUGAUAAUACCGGAUUGAAUUACCAUUGAUGAAACUUAGAACUGUAUGCAUAUGAGAAUCGAACUUUACUAGAGAUACUGAUAAUAUCCAUGUCCGAAUACUUAUUUUGAAGGUAUGCAAGGACGUUCUCGACUCCCUUUGAAACCAUGCUUAUCCCCAUGGCACCCCUGUGGUGCAGCUAAAUCUCGUAUAGAGAUUUUUACCAGAAAUGGAACAUUGGACACCCUGAAGUCUUGCAAAGUUACUUGACCUGGCAAACAGAGCAACAUACAUCACUUCUUCUAUGAACGCAUACGAAAUCAAUACCUAAGCAAAGAAAACAAGAAUGGGUGAAUAGAUUUAAGUUUUGUUUACGUUACUUAUUGAAUUCGUCGGCCAAUGUCUGAAAAUUUGAAGGAUUGUCGAGGAAAAACUUGAGAUGGCAAGCUCUAGAAGCUGAAGGGAACCGAACGACUGGAGCUCUGGUCAUACCGUCCCUCAGAAUAGUGCUGGUGGCACCACCAGAUGCAUAAAUACCCUUAAAUCCUCUAUUGGUGCUUGCAACAAUGCAGCCCUCAGUGGUAGCCGUUGGCACAAUGUACUCGAAACCAUCGAGGAGCAAUGGCCCCGCAAUCCCCAAAGGAAUCUGAACGUAUCCUAUUGGCAUUUCGCAGCACUGCUUCAAAAUAGAGCCAUAACCGAAGCCAUCCAAAGGUAAGCCUUGCAACGACCUCCUAGUAAUCCUAUGCAACGCCUCUUCGAAUUCGAACCGCUCUCUUGGAAUCUCCGACUUGCUCUUCCAGCGCGUAUGAAGGGAUUGUUCCCUUGACAACCAAAUCCACUAUUUCUUCGUCUUCGGCGGAGGAAACCGCCAGAAUUAUAUGGUCGGCGAUAGAAGGAGCGCAAGCCAUCAGUCGGUGACGAUGAUCCUCGCCUUCUUCUUCGUCGACGAGGUCCCAAGCCUCGUUGGAGGCGCGUGCAAUGAACGACUGGACAAAGUCGAUACCGAAGAAACCAAUGAGGUAUAUAAAGGAGGCGAUGAGGGAAAGAAUAGCUGCCAGUUCGGAGAAAGUGACGACGUGAAGGGGAACGGAGUUACGGAUCUUGUCCCGAGGAGGUAGUACGCCACCGAGAAGAAAAGCGUGAAGAAAAGAGCGUUAGUGAAGUAAAAAGGGAGCGGGAGAGCAUCCGAUGCCUUGGCGCCAGUAGGUUUCGGUACGGAUGACGGCUCCUUCGGAGCUGGUCGAAGUGCUUUAGAAGGUCGCCGUCGAACGUCCAUUAAAAAAUCUCUGACGAAAUAGACAGUACGGACAGGAGUAGUAGUAGGUGAGAUAAUGGUGGACGACAGAGAGGAAAUUGCCUAAAGGAAUUGAAGCGAUAAUUAAGGACCAAAUGGGGAGGACUGUGUUUUUUUUUUCUCUAAUGUUAAUGUAUUGCUGAACCUCUACUUGACUUUAGUUAUUAAUUAAAUCCAUAAAAUUGAUGAUAAUAGUUCUUUAAAUAGGGAGGAAAACGCACUUAAAUUCAGUUUUCUUUAUUUUUUCAAUAAUAAUAAUAAUGCUACAAAUUUAACUUCAUGCUUAUGCAUGUUCCUUCCAUUUGUAUGAUUUAAAGUGAUUAGUUUUCAGUUUUCUUCCAUUUACUCUAUUUUGGGAUAAUAUCAUAAAUGGUAUUCCUACUUUAAUUCAAUAUACAAUGAGAUGUCGGUGUGUAAAUUUAUACAUUAAUUCCUAAGUUUUUUUCCUUUGUUCCAUUUUUAAUUGAAUCUCUUCGGCAAGCGAAACCUACUCUAUCCUUGGAAGAAGGAAAUGAAUUGCACAAAAGUGUCAAGAAAAUUAAGAAAGAGCUUAAUCUGUAAUUUGAGAGAGUUUAGACAAUCAUGUUAGACUUGAAAAUGGGUUUGGCUAAAAUUUAUAUUCAUUUAAAAUAUAAACCAGGCUUGGACUCAAGCAUUCAAGGCCCAAGCCCAGUUCAAUCUGUUUUUUAAGUUUGUAAUAUAUUAUAGGGAUAAAUUUUAAAAUUAUACAUAAAAUUUGACCUAAUGUGCAAUUUUAUACAUUAAAUUUUGAUUUGAUCCAAUUCUCAAAAAUUGUAACACAAUUAUUAAUAUAGCAUCAGGAAAAUUCUAGCAUAAUCUCUUACAAAAGAGCUAAUAAAAAAAGCUAGAGGUAAGCUUCAUAGAAAAAUAGCUAUUGGAUUUAAAAAGUUUAAACCUAAACCAUUGAAAGGGGGAAGAGAAAUCAAAAGGUUUUUUGUUUUUGUUUUUUGAAAAAAUGGAAGGAACCAAAUAAGAUUUCCGAAAAAAAGGGAAAUGAAACGUUUUUACUGUCCAUCGUGCUUUAUUGUUGAAGGCUGUAGGCUAGAGGCAGUGCUCACUGGAUAAGAAAGGAAACUAAGAAGUAGAGAAAUAAAAAAAAGGGAAACAGUUUAUUUAAACAAGGAUGGAAAUAAGGUUUUUUUAAAAAGAUUUGCUUUUAUAGCCACGAUAAAGGGGAAAACUGCAAUUAAGUCCUCUUACAUGUUUAACAACUGUAAACAUGGGGCACUGUAAGUGAUAUUUACAAUUUUAGCCUCUCUUACUUUUUUUUUUGAAAUUUUGAGGCAAAUUAAUUACCAAUUAAGUCCCCAUGUUUCUUACAUUUUUUCAAUUUCAAACUUAAAUCCCUCCUUUGUUUAUUUUGUUUUAUUUGAUUUGAUUUUUCUUUAUUAUUAUAGUUAUUUUUAUUAUUACUAUUAUUAUCAUUAGUAUUUAUUGGAGUUUUUGACACAGCUCAUUCCAUGUUCAGUUACAACAAGUAUGAAUUUAUGCUUGCACCCUGGGAAGUUUUCCAGCCUCCUUGAUGUUUUGAUGUUUAUGACCUACAAAGUUGUGGCAUGUUUGACAAAAAAAAACAAUUGGUGUUUGGCUAGGACUUUUUAAUUCUUCAACCGAUCCUAUUGAUGCGGCCAUGAGUUUAUUGGAUAAGGUUUGAGUUCUUAUCUAUAUCACCUUAGUUGAAUGAAGAGUUGUUUAAGGGAUUUUUAUUAGAUUUUCCCAAGGGAUUUUUUAAAGGAAUUACCUAUUGUCUUAGGGGAGAUUAUCUUGUGAUCUCAAGUUGCUAUUUGACACAAAUAGGUGUCACUUUCCC